Molecule: ribosomal RNA, 230 nt
Filed under: uncultured bacterium
Lineage: Bacteria
Description: partial 16S ribosomal RNA
Rfam family: Bacterial small subunit ribosomal RNA
Source: RNAcentral
UAACGCGUAGGUAACCUGCCUUGUAGCGGGGGAGUAACUAUUGGAAACGAUAGCUAAUACCGCAUAACAAUGGAUGACCCAUGUCAUUUAUUUUGAAAGGGGCAAAUGCUCCACUACAAGAUGGACCUGCGUUGUAUUAGCUAGUAGGUGAGGUAACGGCUCACCUAGGCGACGAUACAUAGCCGACCUGAGAGGGUGAUCGGCCACACUGGGACUGAGACACGGCCCAG